UCGAGCGGACAGAUGGGAGCUUGCUCCCUGAUGUCAGCGGCGGACGGGUGAGUAACACGUGGGUAACCUGCCUGUAAGACUGGGAUAACUCCGGGAAACCGGGGCUAAUACCGGAUGCUUGAUUGAACCGCAUGGUUCAAUUAUAAAAGGUGGCUUCUGCCUACCCUUAAAAAAGGACCCCCCGCCCCUUAACUAAUUGGGGAAGGAACCGCUCCCCCAAGGCACCAAGCCUAACCCAACUGAAAAGGGGAACCGGCCCCCUGGGACCUAAAACCCGCCCCAAACCCUACCGGAAGGCACCAUAAGGAAACCUCCCCCAUGGACCAAAAUCCGACCGAACCACCCCCCCUGAAUGAAUAAAGGUUUCCGAACCGAAAAAUCCGGUGGUAGGGAAAAACCAGUACCGGUCCAAAAAGGCGGGACCCUGGCGGGAACCAAACAAAAAAGCACCGGUUAAUAACUGGCCACAACCACCGUAAUACCUAAGAGGGAAGUCGUCUCCCGAAUUAAUGGGC
RNAcentral lists this ribosomal RNA (515 nucleotides) under Bacillus subtilis. RNAcentral's name for it is "partial 16S ribosomal RNA". It matches the Rfam family "Bacterial small subunit ribosomal RNA", at positions 62 to 559 of the family's 1533-position model. The record is from RNAcentral. Lineage: Bacteria; Bacillati; Bacillota; Bacilli; Caryophanales; Bacillaceae.